RNAcentral lists this ribosomal RNA (500 nucleotides) under uncultured Eubacteriales bacterium. Its description in RNAcentral is "bacterial SSU rRNA". It matches the Rfam family "Bacterial small subunit ribosomal RNA", at positions 8 to 507 of the family's 1533-position model. Lineage: Bacteria; Bacillati; Bacillota; Clostridia; Eubacteriales. The record is from RNAcentral.
AGAGUUUGAUCCUGGCUCAGGAUGAACGCUGGCGGCGUGCCUAACACAUGCAAGUCGAGCGAAGCGAUUUUGAGGAAGUUUUCGGAUGGAAUCGAAAUUGACUUAGCGGCGGACGGGUGAGUAACACGUGGGUAAUCUGCCUUAUACAGGGGGAUAACAGUUAGAAAUGACUGCUAAUACCGCAUAAGCGCACGGGAACGCAUGUUUCUGUGUGAAAAACUCCGGCAGUAUAAGAUGAGCCCGCGUCUGAUUAGCUGGUUGGUGGGGUAACGGCCUACCAAGGCGACGAUCAGUAGCCGGCCUGAGAGGGUGAACGGCCACAUUGGGACUGAGACACGGCCCAAACUCCUACGGGAGGCAGCAGUGGGGAAUAUUGCACAAUGGGGGAAACCCUGAUGCAGCGACGCCGCGUGAGUGAAGAAGUAUUUCGGUAUGUAAGGCUCUAUCAGCAGGGAAGAAAAAAGACGGUACCUGACUAAGAAGCCCCGGCUAACUACGUG